This 534-nucleotide ribosomal RNA is filed under the name Entamoeba sp. Its description in RNAcentral is "SSU rRNA". It matches the Rfam family "Eukaryotic small subunit ribosomal RNA", at positions 6 to 500 of the family's 1831-position model. Lineage: Eukaryota; Evosea; Mastigamoebida; Endamoebidae. The record is from RNAcentral.
UGUUGAUCCUCCCAGUAUUAUAUGAUUGUCUCAAAGAUUAAGCCACGCAUGUGUAAGUAGGAAAAUAAUUCAGACUGCGAAACUGCGAAUGGCUCAUUAAAUCAGUUAUAGUUUGUUUGAUGGUAUUUGCUACUCGGAUCCGUAGUAAUUCUAGAGCUAAUACGUGCACCAAACCCCGUCUUGUGGAAGGGAUGCAUUUAUUAGAUAAAAGGUCGACGCGGGCUUUGCCCGUUUCUCUGAUGAUUCAUGAUAACUCGACGGAUCGCACGGCCUUGGUGCGGGCGACGCAUCAUUCAAAUUUCUGCCCUAUCAACUUUCGAUGGUAGGAUAGAGGCCUCCCAUGGUGGUGACGGGUGACGGAGAAUUAGGGUUCGAUUCCGGAGAGGGACCCUGAGAAACGGCUACCCCAUCCAAGGAAGGCAGCAGUGUUGAUCCUGCCAGUAUCAUAUGCUUGGUCAAAGAUUAAGCCAUGCACGUCUAAGUAUAAGCAAUUUAUACAGUGAAGAAGGGAAUGGCUCAUUAAACAGUUAUCGU